GCAGAUAUCUUAUGAGCCCGUUUAACCACUUCUGAAGUUUCAUGCUGCUCUAGAUUUUGAUUUGUACCAACAAGCUUCCUUUUAUUCACAAGCAUCAUAGCAGCCAUGCCUUUUCUCUUUGCGAUUGAAAGAUUCAAAAUUUGACCCAUGUUGUCGGCAGGAGCUUGUUCAAUUAACAUCUGCAUUGGCCAGCCCUUUGCUCUCAAUAUUCUUUCCUCAUC
This 221-nucleotide unclassified non-coding RNA is filed under the name Hevea brasiliensis (rubber tree). Lineage: Eukaryota; Viridiplantae; Streptophyta; Magnoliopsida; Malpighiales; Euphorbiaceae. The record is from RNAcentral.